GAUGAACGCUGGCGGCGUGCUUAACACAUGCAAGUCGAACGAUGAAGCCCAGCUUGCUGGGUGGUUUAGUGGCGAACGGGUGAGUAACACGUGAGUAACCUACCCUUAACUCUGGGAUAAGCCUGGGAAACUGGGUCUAAUACCGGAUAGGAACGUUCACCGCCUGGAGGGUGUUGGAAUGAAUUAUCGGUUUUGGAUGGACUCGCGGUUUAUCAGCUUGUUGGUGAGGUAAUGGCUCACUAAGGGGACGACGGGUAGCCGGCCUGAGAGGGUGAACGGCCACACUGGGACUGAGACACGGCCCAGACUCCUACGGGAGGCAGCAGUGGGGAAUAUUGCACAAUGGGCGCAAGCCUGAUGCAGCGACGCCGCGUGAGGGAUGACGGCCUUCGGGUUGUAAACCUCUUUCAGUAGGGAAGAAGCGAAAGUGACGGUACCUGCAGAAGAAGCACCGGCUAACUACGUG
Molecule: ribosomal RNA, 466 nt
Filed under: uncultured bacterium
Lineage: Bacteria
Description: partial 16S ribosomal RNA
Rfam family: Bacterial small subunit ribosomal RNA
Source: RNAcentral